GGUGCUCCAGACCCGUCAGGAGUGGACCUGUCCAUGGUGUCCAGCCGGCUUCCGACAAAGCCCGAUUUCGAGGCGCUUGCAGCAUCGGCGCCCGCGUCGGCCGAUCGCCGCACGCUCAUUCUGGCGCUGAUCGGUAACCUGGUUUCAAGCUGGACCAAUAACGAGAGUCUGUUCAUUUACGUUCUCAUGCUCCUUCUGCGAACGGAUCAGGCAUCUGC
RNAcentral lists this unclassified non-coding RNA (218 nucleotides) under Hevea brasiliensis (rubber tree). Lineage: Eukaryota; Viridiplantae; Streptophyta; Magnoliopsida; Malpighiales; Euphorbiaceae. The record is from RNAcentral.